RNAcentral lists this long non-coding RNA (2261 nucleotides) under Octopus vulgaris (common octopus). The record is from RNAcentral. Lineage: Eukaryota; Metazoa; Mollusca; Cephalopoda; Octopoda; Octopodidae.
GGAAUAUUCUUGAUGUUAAAACGUGUGUUGAAACAUAUUGUUACCCUUGGGGGAUAGUAAUUUUUUUGCCAUUUAAACAUACGCGCUAUUUUUUUAAAUCUUCACUUUAGUUUUAUUAGUAUUAUAUUUAGUUAAUAGGGGAGACGCAUGGGACAGAGAGUUACUGAAAAGGUCACAGAAUGUGUGACGAAAAGAACUUUGACAGACGUAUAAACUAAAUAUAAUACGAACAAAAUCUUAAGGGAAGAUCAAAUCAAUAGUGGGUAUGUUUUAUUGGCAAAAAUGACUAUCUCCAAGUAUAACAAUAUAUAAAUAUUUAUCGCGUCUAAAGGUAUACCAGAGUGUCAACAAUCACCAACUUUUCGUUGAAGUAAAGUGUAAAAUAAAGCACGAACGAUUUUAACUUUCUUGAUGAGUCAUAUGUUUUACGGUUCUAUUUGUUUGACCGUCAGUUGCUCUGAUCAUUGUCCAAUAUACGUUUCUAUUUGUUUGACCGUCAAUUGCUCUGAUCAUUGACCGUCAAUUGCUCAGAUCAUUGUCCAAUAUACGUUCCUAUUUGUUUGACCGUCAAUUGCUCUGAUCAUUGACCGUCAAUUGCUCUGAUCAUUGACCGUCAAUUGCUCUGAUCAUUGUCCAAUAUACGUUCCUAUUUGUUUGACCGUCAAUUGCUCUGAUCAUUGACCGUCAAUUGCUCUGAUCAUUGUCCAAUAUACGUUCCUAUUUGUUUGACCGUCAAUUGCUCUGAUCAUUGACCGUCAAUUGCUCUGAUCAUUGUCCAAUAUACGUUCCUAUUUGUUUGACCGUCAAUUGCUCUGAUCAUUGUCCAAUAUACGCUCCUAUUUGUUUGACCGUCAAUUGUUUUGAUCAUUGUCCAAUAUACGUUCCUAUUUGUUUGACCGUCAAUUGCUCUGAUCAUUGUCCAAUAUACGUUCCUAUUUGUUUGACCGUCAAUUGCUCUGAUCAUUUACCGUCAAUUGCUCUGAUCAUUGUCCAAUAUACGUUCCUAUUUGUUUGACCGUCAAUUGCUUUGACCAUUGUCCAAUAUACGUUCCUAUUUGUUUGACCGUCAAUUGCUUUGACCAUUGUCCAAUAUACGUUCCUAUUUGUUUGACCGUCAAUUGCUCUGAUCAUUGUCCAAUAUACGUUCCUAUUUGACCGUCAAUUGCUCUGAUCAUUGACCGUCAAUUGCUCUGAUCAUUGUCCAAUAUAUUAGGUUGCCUCUGGCAAAAGGAUGUUCGCGUGUUUUUGAAUUCCUUGAGAGGAAACACAAGCAACGUUAUUCUAUCUCUGAUAAGUAGUGAAUAAACGCAUUCAACUCUGCCAUCAGUAUUGAACUCUUUCUGCUGAACGAUCGUGUACCCCACUCGCGGCAUAUACAUACAUACACACGCACACACACACACAUACACAUACAUAUAUAUAUUAGGUAUGUAUAUAUAUAUACUUACGAAACACCAACUCAAGCACACAUAAAUGUGUGUGCGUAUCUGUGAUUCUAUUAUCUGUUGGCAUCUUUUGACCUGGCUUCCACAUAUAAACCUUGUAUGGAAAUAACAUAACCAAAAGGACUAUAAGUAAAGAAGAACUACUACUACUACUACUACUACUACUACUACUACUACUACUACUACUACUACUAAUAAUAAUAAUAAUAAUAAUAUAGAAACCAAUGGCUCCCGUGUACUGUGAAAAGAAACGAUAUUGAGACUAUGUGAUAGUCAAUCGGUCAUGUGACUGCGGGGUAUUCAGUUAUAUGACCUUUGACACGCAAGCAUCUAGCUUUCACGUCACAUUGUCAUUAACUCCCAAGACAACUUUCUGAUUAGUAGAGUCAUGUAAUUAUUGAUAUCAUUUUGACAACCUUCAUCAUUAUUCAAAUUAGCUAUACUGAGAAAGAGUGAGAGAGAAAGAAAGAGAGAGAAAGAAAGAGACAAGCAGUUGGCCAGUCACCUGAAAACUAAAGACAGCUAACUCUUCCUCUUUCGUGACCAUCCCUAUUACUCCCAGAUAAUAAUUGGUGGCUUAGUCGCUGAUACUCAUUAAAAAUUAAAUAGUGUCUGUCUGUCUGUCUACCUCGGAACAUAACUGUUAACAUUAAGGCAGCUAGCUGACCAGUCCACACAUCAAAUCGUAAGAUCCCGCCAACUGAAUAGUUACAUGACCACCUCUACUCCAGACAGUCCAGUCACGUGAUCAAGUGGAUAAAUGUACUUCUGCUCAAUUACUGUGUUAAUAAAUUUUACUUGAUCAUAUUGUUCAUU